RNAcentral lists this ribosomal RNA (253 nucleotides) under uncultured Stenotrophomonas sp. RNAcentral describes it as "partial 16S ribosomal RNA". It matches the Rfam family "Bacterial small subunit ribosomal RNA", at positions 524 to 776 of the family's 1533-position model. Lineage: Bacteria; Pseudomonadati; Pseudomonadota; Gammaproteobacteria; Lysobacterales; Lysobacteraceae. The record is from RNAcentral. RNAcentral also lists the same sequence under 1 other name.
UACGAAGGGUGCAAGCGUUACUCGGAAUUACUGGGCGUAAAGCGUGCGUAGGUGGUUGUUUAAGUCUGUCGUGAAAGCCCUGGGCUCAACCUGGGAAUGGCGAUGGAAACUGGGCGACUAGAGUGUGGCAGAGGGUAGUGGAAUUCCUGGUGUAGCAGUGAAAUGCGUAGAGAUCAGGAGGAACAUCCGUGGCGAAGGCGACUGCCUGGGCCAACACUGACACUGAGGCACGAAAGCGUGGGGAGCAAACAGG